AGGUUGCUGACCCCUGUCCUAGACCAACUAAAAUCAGGUAGCGAAAUGCUAAAAUCCUGAUGCUCUUCCUCCUGAACCUGGAUGCUGCUGUCUUGUCUACAAUCACAUACAAACAAAAUCUUCAAACAGGUGGGUUAUUUCUCAGCAAAUAUAAAACAAAUUAUUAAACCAAACGUCUACCUCAAAUGUGCAUCCUGUCGACCAACGUAGCUAAUAGUAUUUGUAAAUUUAAGGAGAUUAAGGUUAUAUUUGCCCUUUUGUUUAUAGGGUUCGAUUGCUGCCGCAUCCUCUCAGUGACCAACCACCUGAUUUUAAGUGAGGAGUCGAAACGCCUAGCUGCUGUCUUGUCUUGUUUUGUCUUGUGUUCCGUUCUGUUGGCUGUCCAGUUUUGUUCCUGCUGCUUUGCCUCGCCUCGCCUCUGGGGGCUUUGGGUCUCACUUUAAGCCCCUUCUGGACUAUUGUUUGCACUCUCGCUUCCGCGGCUGGCUAGGGCGAUCCUCAGCUGCAUAUCGGGCUGGUGCUACAAAACUGGUACUGCCUCCCCUGGUUGCUCCCAGUUUGUGGAGAGCUGCAUGAGACUGAGUGAGGCUACGGACAAUCAUAACCAGCACCAGCUGUGGGCUGCAAAGAAGUGAGUGCAAAGAUUUUCAAUCUGUGCUCUGUGGUGUGUGUGGGUGUGUUUUAUUAAAGAUUUUAGUUUUUCUUUUGAUUCUUUUUUUUUUUAAAUUAUAUAGAGAGCCUGUUAUUUGGUGUCCCGUGUUUUAUUCUUUUCAUGUGUAUGUCUUGUGCUUUUAUUUCAGCGAACUGAGGAUCUACCAGCGGCCGUGGGACCUCAGGUGGCGGGUCGUUUUCCACACUUCCUUUGUUGUACAGCACCGGGUGGUUUUCUUUUUGGUCCACCACUGCUGGUAAGUCCCAGUUGUCUGUUUUAUUUUUAUUGUAAUCUGGGACACAGUUUUAGAUGACACUACAUUCAGUGCUCUGUCAUUGUUGAUGUUUUUAUUUUAUUUUAUAUUAAUAAAUAAAAUUGUGUUAAUAUUUGAGCCGGCCUGAGUGUGAAUCCCUGAACCUGUACAAACGUUGUUGGUUCUUUUUAUUACAUUUUAUUCCCAAACAAUUUUAUUUCCUGGGGGUGAAAUUCCCCUAGGUGGCGUUGUCAUUUUAUUACUUUUUUUAUAGCCCCGCCAACCACUUGGUCACACAAAGUAAGAUCAAUGAAAUGCUGAGGAAAAAACACAACUUGAGGAACUUUCUAACAACUUGAAGUCCAAAAGCACUCUAAUGGAGGCGCAAAAGCAACAACAAGAGAAAACACAUGAAGACCUGUAGUGUACGAUUCAAGAAAUCCAGAGAAGUCAGCAGUUAGAAGAAAAGCACAACAACACACAAAAGAGAAAUAAAGAAAUGCACAAGGCAAAGCUAAUACAAGAGGCAACAUCUAAAGAACUAAAAGAAAAGCUUGAAGAAAAACAAGGAAAAAUGGAAGCCAUGGAGAAAAGAUGCAAGAAACUUGAAACUCAAAAUGCAGAAACAAUCAAUGAGUUGAAAAUCCUCAUCCUAGAGAAAAAAAGGGCUCAUGGAACAGUGCCUGAAAAAGAAGCAAAAACUCUUACGCUUGUUCCAAAAGAGGGAGACUGCUGCUCCUCGCCUGAUGUAAUCUCAUCUUCCUCCACCUCUGUUCCAUCUUAAUUCCCCCCCUCCCUCUUUACCUUUUUCUCCUAACACCUCUCCCCUCCUUUCUUCAUCCUUUUUCU
Molecule: long non-coding RNA, 1754 nt
Organism: Astatotilapia calliptera (eastern happy)
Lineage: Eukaryota; Metazoa; Chordata; Actinopteri; Cichliformes; Cichlidae
Source: Ensembl